UGGUAUCCGAAAGCAGAAGUGAUCUGUCUGAAUAUCUCUGCUGCUAGGCCCUGCUGAUUGCUCCCCACUGUGGCACUCAGUGAGUGGCACAGAAAUGAACUAAAACUGAAAUGUAAGAAAAUUUAAUUUCAGCUGAGGAUUUGCCUUUUUGAAAAGGAUGAAUGCAUUGUGAGUAGCCAUUUGCAUUAAAUAAAUGCCCACUUUCUUAAACCAGGCCCUGGUCUUUCUUAUUAUCAUAUGUGUCUGCAGCAGUUGAUCAGACAGGUCAUAUUCCCCGAUGUGUGUAUUGUAUUGCUUAAUGCAGACAGGCAUCCGUCUUGUAUCCUUUCGGCCAUGAACUGCGACCCUGCGCGUGUGUUUACUGUGCAUGGUCGUCAGGGUGAACACCUCCUUUUUGUCUCUGUAUUUCAGAGCCAGCAGUUUGUCCUGGCAGAGAGCAGCUGUUUCACC
This is a non-coding RNA of Pelobates cultripes (western spadefoot toad), 450 nucleotides long. Lineage: Eukaryota; Metazoa; Chordata; Amphibia; Anura; Pelobatidae. The record is from the annotation of a GenBank genome assembly.